UUCCUCUCGAGGCUGGUUUUAUCCCAGCCUGUUCCCUUUGGGAAAAGUCCCCGGACAUGAAGGCAGAAAGUGUCAGCCUGAAGAGGCAAGACCCCUGCUCUGAGUUCUCUUGUCGCGAAGAUGGCGCUUGCCAGAGUGGUGAGAACAAAGGCAGGACGUUCGUCGUACCAAAGUUAUGCGAACAUAGCUAGGCUUCUCAGCCCUGCUAACACGCAACGGGGCUUACUCUCGC
Molecule: RNase MRP RNA, 232 nt
Filed under: Palpitomonas bilix
Lineage: Eukaryota
Description: partial RNase MRP
Rfam family: RNase MRP
About the family: RNase MRP is an enzymatically active ribonucleoprotein with two distinct roles in eukaryotes. In mitochondria it plays a direct role in the initiation of mitochondrial DNA replication. In the nucleus it is involved in precursor rRNA processing, where it cleaves the internal transcribed spacer 1 between 18S and 5.8S rRNAs.
Source: RNAcentral